Molecule: transfer RNA, 71 nt
Filed under: Marmota monax (woodchuck)
Lineage: Eukaryota; Metazoa; Chordata; Mammalia; Rodentia; Sciuridae
Description: tRNA.Thr
Source: RNAcentral
GAGGUUGUAGCUCAGUGGUAGAGCACUUGCUUUGUACAUACGAGGCACUGGAUUCAAGCCUCAGCACCACA